UACGAAGGGGACUAGCGUUGUUCGGAAUCACUGGGCGUAAAGCGCACGUAGGCGGAUGUGUCAGACAGGGGUGAAAUCCCGGGGCUCAACCUCGGAACUGCCUUUGAUACAGCACGUCUCGAGUCCGGAAGAGGUGGGUGGAAUUCCUAGUGUAGAGGUGAAAUUCGUAGAUAUUAGGAAGAACACCGGUGGCGAAGGCGGCCCACUGGUCCGGUACUGACGCUGAGGUGCGAAAGCGUGGGGAGCAAACAGG
Molecule: ribosomal RNA, 253 nt
Filed under: uncultured bacterium
Lineage: Bacteria
Description: partial 16S ribosomal RNA
Rfam family: Bacterial small subunit ribosomal RNA
Source: RNAcentral